This is an RNA transcript of Anopheles arabiensis, 1853 nucleotides long. It is a transcript of the gene named zinc finger protein 235, with no coding region annotated. The record is from RefSeq and is a predicted model, not a curated record. NCBI's taxonomy places the organism in Eukaryota, Metazoa, Arthropoda, Insecta, Diptera, Culicidae. The transcript is spliced from 6 exons.
AUCCCAGCCUCGAACAGCGUCUCGCUGGGCAGCUACAAAAUAAUGAAAUUUUGUAAAGAAAAACUCAUUUUUUCUAGUUAAAUGUACAUUCAUCACGUGAUCUGUGUUAUAGGCGAAUAGUAGAACGUUUGGAAAUAAGGAAUUAACCGGUAAUGUAUUUAUUAUAGCAACAAAGCAAAACAAAGAAAGAACAACACAAGUGAAAGAUGCAUUUCGUACGAUGACGUUUUAGCUAGAGAUACUGGUUUCUACAGCAAUUAUUAACUCUAAACGCUCCAUGUAAACAACCGUGCGACGAAACGCCGUACACAGCACUUUGCAAUUAGUACUUUAAUCACCAAUCAUGGAUUACAACAUUAGUCGACUGUGCCGCGUGUGCCUGGAGGAGGGAGUGUUUACAUCAAUAUUCAGCACCGAUCUGGUCGCAAUGGCACCGGCCAAUAUGCUCGUAAUGUGUGCCAACAUAAAGGUAUCGAGAGACGAUGGACUUCCCAGCACGAUCUGCAACAACUGUAUGUACCGGCUCGGGGUAGCAUUUCACCUAAAGCAGCAGUGUGAAAAUUCCGACAUGAGACUGCGCCAGUACAUGAACGGAGGCUCGGCCAUGAGCUACAGCUACACGCUGGACAAGGAAACGAUGACUGACGAAUCGUGGCUGCUGUCGGGCAUGGACCAUAAAGGCGACGAUCAAAAGUCGCCGGAAAAAAAAACAAACAGUAAAAAACGAUACCGAGUCAAACUGCCCGAGGAGCGCAAGAAGAGGGGGCCAAAACCGAUGCCAAAAAUUCCACAAACAUGCUACCAGUGUCACAAAUCCUUCAAGUGUGCCGCUCAACUGCAAAUGCAUCUGCGCACACACUCGGGCGAAAAGCCGUACGCAUGCAAUCUCUGUCCCCGCCGGUUCGCCCAAAAGCACAACCUUGCCAUCCACCUGCGGACGCACACGGGCGAACGGCCGUACCAGUGUGAGAUCUGCAGCAAACAGUUCUCCGCCCUGGGGAACUUUCAGGCGCACAAAAAGAUACACACGAACGAGCGGGAUCACGUGUGCCCGUCCUGCAACAAGGGCUUCAUUACGUCGGGCGAUCUGACCCGGCACAUGAUCUCACACUCGGGCAUCAAAAACUAUCACUGUGAUAUAUGUGCGAAAAGCUUCAGCCGGAACCGUGACAUGAUGGCACACAAGCGCAAGAUGCAUCUGGAAGAGUGUGGCAACGAGUGCUACAAGUGCCACGAGUGUCACAAAGUGUUCGCCACCCUGAACAAUCUGAACGUUCACAUGAGGGUGCAUGCGCAGGAGGUAAACGUGGCGGAUCCGGUGGGUGAGCUUAUGCCACCACACGGACAACAGCAGCAGCAGCAGCAGCAGCAGCAACAGCACCAGCAGCACCACCAGCAGCAGCAGCUCCAGCAUCAGCUCCAUCACCAACAACAGGCACAUCAGCAGGUUCCGGUACCACUCGCCCUCCCACCACACGCACUCGGUCCACCGGGCUCGCUUGGCGUUGGGUUGGGUAUGUUACCAUACCCGUCCUCCCACGUGCCAACCCAUCCACCGGCACAGGUAGCGUACCACAGUCAAAUCCAUCCAGCACAGCGGCUACACCCGUACUAAAAUGGGGCAUACAUCACCAAGGCUCGGCACCAAGGGGGAAAUUGUCAUCACAGUAUGGAAAGGAUCAUCACACACACAAUUGCAUACAUAAGUACUGUCCUCUUCCCUCUGUUCAUCUCGAUCGAUGCAUCCAGUUUUUCGAUAAAUGCUGCUACGAGCCAAACAACCCAUUUAUUCAUGAUUGCGAAACAACAAUAAAUCACUGCAAACCACACAGUGACUUCAUUGUAACACCUCC